GACGAACGCUGGCGGCGUGCCUAAUACAUGCAAGUAGAACGCUGAAGGAGGAGCUUGCUUCUCCGGAUGAGUUGCGAACGGGUGAGUAACGCGUAGGUAACCUGCCUGGUAGCGGGGGAUAACUAUUGGAAACGAUAGCUAAUACCGCAUAAGAGUAGAUGUUGCAUGACAUUUGCUUAAAAGGUGCAAUUGCAUCACUACCAGAUGGACCUGCGUUGUAUUAGCUAGUUGGUGAGGUAACGGCUCACCAAGGCGACGAUACAUAGCCGACCUGAGAGGGUGAUCGGCCACACUGGGACUGAGACACGGCCCAGACUCCUACGGGAGGCAGCAGUAGGGAAUCUUCGGCAAUGGGCGGAAGUCUGACCGAGCAACGCCGCGUGAGUGAAGAAGGUUUUCGGAUCGUAAAGCUCUGUUGUAAGAGAAGAACGAGUGUGAGAGUGGAAAGUUCACACUGUGACGGUAUCUUACCAGAAAGAGACGGCUAACUACGUG
RNAcentral lists this ribosomal RNA (495 nucleotides) under uncultured bacterium. RNAcentral describes it as "partial 16S ribosomal RNA". It matches the Rfam family "Bacterial small subunit ribosomal RNA", at positions 28 to 507 of the family's 1533-position model. The record is from RNAcentral.